CACACUGCGCGACAUCUGCCGCCCACAGCGGUAGGUGAAGCACAGCCAACCCUUGUCUAUUACUACCAUUUGUGAAUCCCUCGGCAGGGACGCCUGCCGCUGGGACCCCUAAACUCUUCUGUAUACAAGCAUAAAAACAUUCUGAAUCAAAUCAAAUUAUUA
RNAcentral lists this unclassified non-coding RNA (162 nucleotides) under uncultured Dictyosporium. Its description in RNAcentral is "sequence contains ITS1". The record is from RNAcentral. Lineage: Eukaryota; Fungi; Ascomycota; Dothideomycetes; Pleosporales.